AAAAAGAAGAGUUUCAACUAAAGACUUGUAUAGAGAGGUGGGAGAGCCCAUCCCUCCAUCUUCUAACCAAAAUGUCCUAAAGGUCCUCCCCAUCCCCCUCGAUGUGGAGCCGUCCAUCCUCAACUGCAGCAUCCUCAAAGCAGAGCACAGACUCAGGGUCUACCUUGAUGUCAAAUAUGCUUCAGACCCAGUGAUCAAAUUCCCCAUAGUCAUCCUGCCGGCCCCUAAUGUUCCUGGUGUGGAGGCGCCCCCACUCGCUGCUUCUGGUUUUGGAUUUGAACCGUUUGGAAAGACCUACCCACCAGCCUGGGGAACAGUCCCUCCACAAACACCAUCAGCACCCCAACUCUCAGAUCCCCAACCCUCAGACCCCCCUCCUGCCUAUGGAACAUGGGACACACCCUCCUUUGAUAAAUCUUGGAAAUGAAUAUAAUUGGUUGGACUGUGAAGAUAUGUGGACAUUUCAGAGGUUUUCAUGCUGCUGCCCACCUCCUCCCCAUCUACCUCC
This is a long non-coding RNA of Notothenia coriiceps (black rockcod), 508 nucleotides long. RefSeq lists it as uncharacterized. NCBI's taxonomy places the organism in Eukaryota, Metazoa, Chordata, Actinopteri, Perciformes, Nototheniidae. The transcript is spliced from 3 exons. The record is from RefSeq and is a predicted model, not a curated record.